This is a long non-coding RNA of Diabrotica virgifera virgifera (western corn rootworm), 7123 nucleotides long. RefSeq lists it as uncharacterized. The record is from RefSeq and is a predicted model, not a curated record. The transcript has 2 exons. NCBI's taxonomy places the organism in Eukaryota, Metazoa, Arthropoda, Insecta, Coleoptera, Chrysomelidae.
CAUAUUUUUUGACAUACCUCGUAUACUGUUGACAAAAUUUGAUAUCUGAUGAUUGCAUCUUAGGUUUUAGACUGGGCAGAGCACUUUAUAAAGAAUGACUUUUUUUCGUAAAAUUGAUAUUAAAAAAGUUUCCCAUAUGGUUCCAAGUUACGCAGACACCCUGUAUAUGUGUCUGAGGAUUUUUCGUUCAAACGUACCUAAUAAGUUCUCAUCGCUUUUCGACAGUGUCCAUGUCUCUGAUCCAUAUAUAAGGACCGGUUUUAUCAGGGUUUUGUAUAUUUUGCAUUUGGUUUUUCUCGUGAUGUUGUUAGAUCCUAGAUGUUUAAUUAGUCCAUUAUGUGGUCUCUCACAGAGUAGUUAUUUCGAUAUGCGGCCACCACUAAAUAAUGUUAAUGCAUUUAGUAAAUUUUGCAUCUACUCGUAUAUACAGUAGGGUGCAAAUGAAAGGAAUAAAUUUGUUAUUUCGUAAACCGAUGACAUUAGGGAAAAUCCCGAAAGAGGCCGAUUUUUGUUUUUAAAUUAUAUUUUGGCAUACAUAUCAUACUAGUGUCGUCAUCCAUCUGGGUGUGAUGACGUAAUCGAUGAUUUUUUUAAAUGAGAAUAGGGGGAAUUUGGUGACAUCGGCAGAACAAGUUUAUGGAAAGUCCUACAUAACAUAGGAUUCAAAUUUAAAAAAGAGGAUAACAGAAAAGCGCUUUGUGAAAGAAGUUAUGUUGUACACAAGAGAAUUGAGUUUCUGAGAAAAUAUAACAAAUUUAAAGAAAAAGAGUCAACUUUUGUAUAUUUAGACGAAACAUGGAUAUUUUCUAAGGGUGCUACCAAGAGAAUAUGGUAAGAUGACAACAUAAAAUCGAUCAAGCAUACUAGUGGAGAAGGGAAGCGACAUAUAAUUCUGCACGCGGGAGGGAAGACAGGAUAUAUAAAAGGUGCUAAUUUAAUAUUUUCGUCUACAUAAAAAACAGUGACUAUCAUGACAAUAUGAACACGGAAAUGUUUGUGAAAUAGUUGCGUGAAAAACUUCUUCCCGGAUUAAGUGAGCCCAGCGUAAUUAUUUUAUACAAUGCGCCUUACCAUUCAGAAAUACUAAACAAAAGUCCAGCAAAUUCGUGGAAUGUAGAUAAAAUUAAAGAAUGGCUAAAAAAUGAACGCAUAUCUAUUCCACAGCUUAUAUUAAAGUAUGAGUUGUUACGUUUGGCAAAAGAACAUGCGAAACCAAAAAUCUUUCUGGUGGUUCAAGUUAUUGAAAGUUACGGGCAUCAAGUUUUACAUCUUCCACCACACCACUGCCAGUUUAAUCCCAUCGAAAAUAUAUGGGGAACAGCAAAACAAUAUUACAACCAUAUUAUGGUCCUAUAGUGGUUAUACUGACGAAGCGGUUUUUGAAACAUGGCGAGAAGCACUUUCAAUUGCAACUCCAGAAGUAUGGCGGAACUAUAUAUCCAAGUGCGAAAAAUUAAUUAAGGAUUGGUGGAUUCGUGAAAAUAAAAUUAACGAAAUAAACCCAAUCAUAAUAACAAUUAACGGUGACCCCAGCGAUGAAGAUGAUAGUGUGAACAAUAAAGUACUAAAUCAUUUUAGUAAAAAAAAAUUGGUACGUAUAUUGACUUAAUAAUAUUUAGGAGUUUACUUGAAUAUUUGAUGUUUAUAUGAUGCCCUGCUGUAGGAUUUCCGGAUUCUUUUCAAGGCGUGAUCAUUUUAGUAAGUGUGAUUUGUUUGAAAUUGAAACUAUUUGUAGAUAUUGUAGUUACAUACAUAUUACAAUAUUGUUUUUAAUAAUUUUUAUUUACGGGGAAAAUACCCCAUUAUACAUAAAAACUAUUAAAUAUACAUAACUAACAAAGAAAACUUAUUGACUAUAGGCUGCAUUGCGGCUGCUUUAAUAUAUCACUUAAAUUGAUUGUGACUUUAUAUAAAACCAUUUUCGAGAUUAAAUUAAAACAUCAACAAUACAGCAACGUUUAGCCUUCUACCUUUUAUAAGUUAAAAUUUGUUUUAUUUUUAUUAUAUGGAUAUUCAUGCAACAAUUAAAAUUAGGUAUACUGAUUUUUUGCUACGGGUAAUGAUUAGUAAUGAACUGUUGUAAAGAAUCAUGAAAUUAUAUCGUUUAGGCUUGUGAGGCUAAAAUUUUAAAUUAUUUGAUUUAUAUAAGAACAUCCCCUCAAAUAAAAAAUGACUGCGCCAAUGUGUAAAUAGUCAAACUACAGCGGACCAGUCAAUUCGUUCAUUUCUUUCUUAAUCCGUGACCGGUAGUGUAAGCCUACCGAAUAGACAACUUUUUUAUUUGCGUACACGUUAGCGUGUACCUAGACACAGCGGAUUUUUAGUUAAGUUAAAACCAGGUUUAUUCAUAAUCCUCAAACCAGGAGAAAUUAAAUGUGUUAAGUUAAAAGUGAAAAUUAUUCUGGCCAUGGUGUAUAGUGAUGUUGAAAAAGUAACUAUUCGUUACAAAGUACUCGUUACUUACGAAUACCGAAAGUACCGAUUACUAUACAGAGAGGCAAAUCGUUACUUUGAUUACUCUGAUUACUUCGUUACUUUGUACCAAUCGUAUCAGAGCGGGUAACGACUAUUGUAUCUACAACCAGUACACUUGAUUACUUUCUAUAAAAAAAAUACUAAUCGUAUCCUAGCGAGUAACGGACGGGACCGGUAUUUUACGAGUGUUAUGGAAUAUCGUUAUCGGUAUGAAGCGUUUUAAGGGUGUGACAGAAUACCUAUACAAAAUACCUUCCUACUGAGAAAUACGAUUCUCGAUAUGAUUAUCGGUACUCGAAUACAAAAGUAACAAAAGUAAUCAUAUAGUAAUCAAAGUAACGAAUACUGUAAAUGAUUACUUUAUACAAAAGUAACGAUUUAUCCCUUAAACAGAUCGGUGAAGGUCGUUGUUAUAUCGAAAUACCUAUACAAAAUAUCUACCUACUGAGAAAUACGAUUCUCGAUAUGAUUACCGGUACUCAAAUACAAAAGUAAUCAUAGUAAUCCAAAGUAACGAAUACUGUAACUGUAAAUGAUUACUUUAUACAAAAGUAACGAUUUGGAACGAAUCCUCGAAAGUAACUAUAAUCAACAUCACUACUACGAAUAAAAAUUCCUUUGCAUUGCCCCUACAGUGUAGGCAAGCACAACCGUCGUUAAUAUCGUUUUUCUUUAUAAAAUUUUCAAUUUUCAUUAUUUUCAAUUAAAGCCAGUUUAUUUAUACUCCGCAAACGAGGAGCAAUUAGGUGAUAUGAUUAUUUAGCAAUUUUACGGCUUUUUAUACCCAGAAAAUGAAAAUUUAUUCGAAAUCUCAACUUUUUAUUUGGUUAUAUCUCGAAAACGGAAAAUCCCCAAAUGAAAUUUCAAAGGAGGGAUUACCUUUAAGUCAGGAGGAGUUAUUUUGACUAUGGUACAUACUACUUUUAGCCUUAAGGCCCCGUCUCACCAUCAAAUAAUUGACAGUUAUUUGAUCAAACUUGACAGUUAGUGACACACUCCCAAGAACCGACACAAACGGAUUAUCUAUGAACUAAAUUUUUAUGCGCAUGUGCCAGAUCGGCCAUUUCUCAAUUUGUAUGAAUAGCAAAUAAUUUUGGUGACAUUUGUCUUGUACAGGAUCGGCGUUUGUUGUCACAGUUGUUUGUUUGGCUUGGCGUUAGUAUUUUGUUUUUGUAUCAGUUUGUAGCUCAUAAUAUUUUGUAUAGACUUAUUUUCUAUAUAUAUUUUCUUAUAUAACCUACAACUAUUAAUUGUUAUUUUCCAACAUUUAUACAAUUUAAUUCUUUUUGAGAUAUCUUGAUUAUGUGAAUUAAUUAUUUUAAGCUUUUUCAUGAACUAUAAACUAUCGUAUAAAAAAAUAAUUUUGUAUUUAUUGGGAUUUCACAAAGAAUUUGAAUCUAAAAAUACAAAUUCUCUAACCUUUCUUUGACCUCUACUGCUGUGUUUAACAAGUUGAGAAUCCAAUACUCACAAAAACUUCCAUAAAGUACUUUUAUCAGCAAACCUAAAUUAAAUUUAAUAAACUAUGUUUCAUUAAAUUGUUUCUGUAGUUUGUAUAAAACAAUAACUUAGGUCAAAUAUAUAAAACAAUUUAUGACUGACUACUUGAAAUUCAGGAUUUUCAGGAGUAACAUUAUAUAAUUUAGCUAAUUCAAAAAGUUUGAUCCAAUAUUACUUGAAAUUGUUUCAACAUUCAAGUUAAUGCUUGAUAAUUGACAAUACACUCUUCAUAAUAGGUUUACAUUCUCUUGAUUAUACUUGCGUUCCAACAAAAAAAGCUAAAGGCUGCUUUCAUAUGGAAUAUAAGCUUCUGACCAUAAUGAUCAAAACGUUUCCAUAUAUAUAUAUUAAUUAAUAUAUUAAUUAAAAAAAUUACUUUUUCUCUUUUCUCGAUUGCUUAUUAGUUUUUAUUGUAUACUAUAUAUAUUUUUUCAGUUAUUACAUCUUUAUAUUUAUAGAAAAAAAAUAGUACAAUACUUAUUGGUUUUUUAUUUAUUUACCCCGAUAUUCGACUUUAAAGAAUGUACUGGCUGGUUUUGGCUGGAAUGUACGGAAUGUUUUGGCUGGUUUCCAAGACAAUAAAAAUUGAAAAUAUUGACAUUCGAUUUUAAUAUACAGUUUCUUGUUGUUGAUCACGGACAUUUGUCAUCCAAAAAGAAUUGGAUUCCGUGACGGUUACAACGGCUGUUAUUUUUCGAUUAUUUUACGAAAUAACGAAUAUAAUGAAUUAGGAAAUACCUCGACAAACAAGUAAUUGGUCCUAGGUUUUCAUCCAAAGUAAUCGAAAGUAGAACUGGAAGUCGAUAUUGGAACUCUUCGUGUAACUUUGCGUCGAUUGAUCUACGAUUUUACUAAUUUUGUCAUCUUGUUUUACAUUCAUAUCAUAUUUUGAGUGACUUUAAAGCAGUACCUACGGUUGUAACUCUAAAACCGAAGUCCGAUGUCAAAUUUCUCAUCUUUAAUACCAUCCAUGGGUUAUAAGCUUUCAUUCGACACCUCAUUUGUCAUUCUAUCUGUAUUAGUAACUGAGGAGUUGUAUUCGCGGUCGGACGGACAGACAGUCAUGAAACCAGAAGUAUAUAUUUGUUCUCGUCUUGCGAAUGCGCGUCGAAUAAUGUAUCACUUGUGCUAUUGCGGUGACUUUAAAAGAGUACUUCCGGUCGCAUUUCUAAAACCGGAAGUCCUAGGUCAAAUUUCCUACCUUUAGUACCAUCCAUGUAUUAUGAGCUUUCAUUCGACACCUCAUUUGUGAUUCUACCUGGUAUAGUAACGGAGGAGUUACAUUUCCGGUCGGACGGACAGACAGUCUAGGUCAAAUGUCUCACCUUGAGUACCAUCCAUGGAUUAUAAGCUUUCAUUUGACACCUCAUUUGUCAUUCUACCUGGUAUAGUGACUGAAGCAGUUAUAUUCGCGGUCGGACGGACAGACAGCCUAUUAGGUCACACCAAGUCGUUCAAAUUCUCACCAACUUGUUCACACUUUUUCAAAAUUGGUGAAAACAACAAAUUAUAUUUUGUAUCGUUGUAUCAAUAUAAGCCAAAAAGAAUAAUUAGUGAAUGUCACGCCACUAUAAUAUAUUUUAUUAUUGGUCUUUCAAUGCUAAAAUCAGGAUAAAAAAGGUAUUUUAUCCAUGGUUUUAAUCAAUAUAAUUCUCACCAUUACUUUGUGUUGUAUUUGCAACCUUUUGUAAAUCAAAAAUAAUUCCACCAUAUUAAGAAUGUCAACAAAAGCCGGCCCUGCAUGCAACCUUUCUCUCAGUGCAACUAAAAUUUUAUUGAUACACGCCAGAAAUGUGCGAGACUUUUCUCAGUGUACUCGCGUGUACACUUGCCAACUCGAUACUAAAAUUAAGUACAUGCUAACAACAAAAGAAUCGCCGUCCGUGUCGGUUCUUGUGAGAGAUAUGUAUUCUUUGCACAAAGUGACAGUUAGUACGUAUAGUUUGUGUCACUUGUCAAGUUUGACUGUCAAGUUUGAUCAAAUAACUGUCAAUUAUUUGAUGGUGAGACGGGGCCUUUACAGUUUAGGUUUACCAAAAGUGAAAAUUAUUCUGGCAUUCCUUUGCCCCUACAGUAUAGGCAACCAACAUUAAUAUCGUUUUUCCUUUAUAAUAUUUUCAAUUUUCACAAUUUUCAAUUAAAACCAGUUUAUUUAUAAUCCGCAAACGAGGUGCAAUUUUUUGAUAUGGUUAUUUAGUGACUUUACGGCAUUUUAUACCCUGAAAAUCGACAUUUAUUUUUAGCGCUGCGCCGAAAUCUCCACUUUUGAUUUGCUUAUAUCUCGAAAACGGAAACUCCGUAAAUGAAAUUUUGAAUGGUGCAAUUAUCCGCAAACGAGGUGCAAUUUUUUGAGCUAUGGUAGAAGUCAAAAUAACGACUUUGAAAAAACCGUUUCGCUAACUUUAUGACGCUGCAAAGGGACAAGGAACUUCCGAAUAUGGCCUAACUGGGGGCACAUAACAUAACAUAACCUAAUCCUAAUAUUUACAUUUGUAAAGAAUAUCCUGUUUGUUUUUAUUGUCGAUUGUGCAGCGAAAUUGUGUGCAGCAAAUCAAAUAUAAAGUAGUUUAUCGCCUACAGAACUGAAUUAGUCCAUAGCAGUUAUCAGUUUUUCUUUCUUGGGAAGCUUAUACAUGUAACUUGUAUUGUUGUAAAUUGUGGGAGUAGGGCAGACAGGGAAAAGUCUUAUUUUGUACUGUUCCCAAGGCUCCCCAUGCAAUACAUUUAAAUGAAUUAUCCAAACAAAGCCGGGGACAAUGGAUAAAAGGCACAAGAAGAACAGAUAUAAGGGAACUAAAAUUAAAAUAUGAAAAGUAAACAUUUUAUAAGUGGAACAACACCAGAUAUUUAAAAGGUAUAAAAAGAAGAAACUGCUGGAAUUUCAAAACAAAUGUGUUUGACUAGUAAAGAUUUGGAUAAAUAACAGGAGUUACUUUGGGCUAUAGCUACGUGCAGAUUUAUUUCCUUGUGGCUUCCUAUGUUAAUUCUUAUUAAUUAUACACUUAAAUAUGUUUUUAGUCUCAGGAAGAUUUUAUAUUUGAUUAUUUUUGAAUAAACAUUAUUAUUAUUAUUACCUUAAUUUCCAUUAAAUAAAUUAACUGUAAUCAAUAAAGUAAUCGUUUAAUUGUUAAUAAAUUAUCAAGUAUGA